Molecule: ribosomal RNA, 503 nt
Filed under: uncultured bacterium
Lineage: Bacteria
Description: partial 16S ribosomal RNA
Rfam family: Bacterial small subunit ribosomal RNA
Source: RNAcentral
AUUGAACGCUGGCGGCAGGCUUAACACAUGCAAGUCGAGCGGGGUGAUGGUGCUUGCACUAUCACUUAGCGGCGGACGGGUGAGUAAUGCUUAGGAAUCUGCCUAUUAGUGGGGGACAACAUCUCGAAAGGGAUGCUAAUACCGCAUACGUCCUACGGGAGAAAGCAGGGGAUCACUUGUGACCUUGCGCUAAUAGAUGAGCCUAAGUCGGAUUAGCUAGUUGGUGGGGUAAAGGCCUACCAAGGCGACGAUCUGUAGCGGGUCUGAGAGGUGGAUCCGCCAAACUGGGACUGAGACACGGCCCAGACUCCUACGGGAGGCAGCAGUGGGGAAUAUUGGACAAUGGGGGGAACCCUGAUCCAGCCAUGCCGCGUGUGUGAAGAAGGCCUUAUGGUUGUAAAGCACUUUAAGCGAGGAGGAGGCUCUUUUGGUUAAUACCCAAGAUGAGUGGACGUUACUCGCAGAAUAAGCACCGGCUAACUCUGUGCCAGCCGCCGCGGUAA